UGUGCAGGUGGUCUGUUAAGUUGGGUGUUAAAUCUCUUGGCUCAACUGGGAGGUGUCGCUCAAAACUAACAGACUGGAGGACGGUAGAGGAAGGUGGAAUUCCGGGUGUAGUGGUGAAAUGCGUAGAUAUCCGGAGGAACACCAGUGGCGAAGGCGACCUUCUGGACCGCUCCUGACACUCAUACACGAAAGCUAGGGGAGCAAACGGGAUUAGAAACCCCGGUAGUCCUAGCUGUAAACGAUGUGAACUUGGUGUUGGUGGGGUAAAACCUGCCGGUGCCGCAGCAAACGCGAUAAGUUCACCGCCUGGGGACUACGGCCGCAAGGUUAAA
RNAcentral lists this ribosomal RNA (332 nucleotides) under uncultured bacterium. Its description in RNAcentral is "bacterial SSU rRNA". It matches the Rfam family "Bacterial small subunit ribosomal RNA", at positions 568 to 898 of the family's 1533-position model. The record is from RNAcentral.